Molecule: long non-coding RNA, 2024 nt
Filed under: Daphnia magna
Lineage: Eukaryota; Metazoa; Arthropoda; Branchiopoda; Diplostraca; Daphniidae
Description: uncharacterized LOC116932113, transcript variant X12
Source: RNAcentral
GAUGUAGAGCUGGCCGGUAAGGAGCUAGGAUCAUUGUAGUUUCUACUUCCUAGAUGUGAUUAAUACGUUGCAAAUUGAAAUUUAAGCAAGAAGAGGCUUCGUGCCGUGCAAUCUUUAUUGUUUACCUGAACAGUCUGCACUCUGUGGCAUGUUGUUGCUACAUGUCAUGUCACAUUUGUUUCAGUUUUCAUUUAUCACAGCGUUAAACAAAAUUGCAUAGUCAUUUGAAAUCAAAAUUGCUUGUGAUUACAUCUGUGCCAAAGUGAGAGCCAAAGUCUUAGUGUUUCCAUUAUCCAUCUAACUGAAUUUUGUAACCAAGUAUUCUAAGUUUUGAUUUAAAUAGAAGUAGAGAGUAAGAUUUAUGUGAAAACUUUUCACUUGAAGGGAAAGCAAGUGCAAAGGCAAUCCUGAUGGAUGCAGAAAAGCAUAUUACAAGAAAUGGUAUACAUUAAUAUAAGAUAUAACAAGUCAUACUUGUGAAAAAAAUAGAGAAAAGAACACCAUUUACCUGCAUACUUUGGAGAUGCAAUAAGAGCUGCAGCUUCUAAACAGAUGCUUACAUCUUAAACCAAGAGAAGCUACCAACGAGGAAUUGACAAUACACACACCUCAAAUGUAUUCUAAAAAGUAUGACAGUCUUUUUCAAUUAGGAAGCAUUGGAACGGAUGAGCUCCAAAUGUAUUUUUUCAUCCAAGCACCUAUGAUUAGUCGCCAUUGGCUGCCGGAAUAAUAGUUGAACUGAUGCCUUAUAUAUUAGAUGAGAAAAUUAAGGAUGCAAUGAUCAGUAUAAGACCACUAUGUCAUAGAGCCAUGAAGAGUGAAUAUUGUGGUUACUGUUUCUACAAUAAUGGGGCAAUCGCCGCGCAAUAUGCGCUUAACAAUCACGAUCUUAAAAGGUCAUUAAUUGUGGAUUAGGAUAAUCAUCAUCGACAAGCUACUCAACAUAUGUUUUAUGACGAUAAAUUUAUUAUUUUUACCAAGUGCUAUCAAAACGGUGCAUUUUUGGCGUCACUCCAUGAGUCCGGCCAUCACAACAUCGGUCGUGGGGCCAUGACAUUUUCCCUUUAUCGACAAACGUAAACUGAAACUUUCCAUAGUUCGCUUGCUGCGGAAUUCUGUGACCUUUCAGUUCGACUUUAAUUGUCCCGAAGUGACUUUGACGGCCAUUUGAGUUUCUUUCUCACGGUUCUGCAGCCAAAACUUUAAUCUGAGACUUUGCUCGUCAUGCUCGUGAUGGUGAUCGCCGGAAAAAUGGUAGGGACCUAUCCCUAGAUGGCCUAACCCGAUUUGUUGACCUUCAGCUGCACGUGUGUGUGUUUUACUUGUUUUCAAACUGAAUAUUGCAGUGCAAGUUGUGCAAAAUGGAGCCACAAAAAAGUGUCCCUUCAAAAGUAAAUUUAACUAGCAAUGUAGUUGGAAAUAAUAGAAAUAGGGGACGGAGCGAGGAAGGAAAAGAAAAACAAAAACGAAGGAGGAACAGAUACAAAUUGCAAAAUGCAACUCCAUUUGUUAAUGUUCCUUCCACAGAAGUCGACAAAAUGGAAGAUCCAAUCGGCGACGGCGAUCCCUUGAAAAUUGAUUUAAUGCCAUCCACGUCUGCAGAUGAUAAUUCUCAUGAAGCAGACGUGGUGGCAGAUGAAUCUUUCAUCGUAGAUGAAAUUGUAAGUGUAAGGAUCCAUUGGAAAUCUGGAAACAGCCAGAAGAUGCAGUUCUGUUCAUUGACCUAGCCAACAAUAUUACGCGUCACAGCAAUAAAGAAUAGAUUCUGGAGCUAAUUAAAGCUGACAUCCAAAAGGAUAUCCAUCUAUUGUCGGAACAACUGGAACAAAUCAAUGCAAACUGUUCCACUUUGUUUGAAAAAUUCAAUAAAUUUAAUCAGCUUUUAGAGGGUUGCACUUGGAUUCCGCUCCACGACUCGAAUAACACUAUUCCAUGAUGAUAUUAAAGUUGCAUUGCAAAUUUGUUUGUAAUUUGUUAACCACCACUGUCUUCCCUUCGCAUGCAAUACAAAGAAGUUGACAUAA